Molecule: ribosomal RNA, 465 nt
Filed under: uncultured bacterium
Lineage: Bacteria
Description: partial 16S ribosomal RNA
Rfam family: Bacterial small subunit ribosomal RNA
Source: RNAcentral
GAUGAACGCUGGCGGCGUGCUUAACACAUGCAAGUCGAACGGAAAGGCUCCUGCUUGCAGGGGUACUCGAGUGGCGAACGGGUGAGUAACACGUGGGUGAUCUGCCCUGCACUUCGGGACAAGCCUGGGAAACUGGGUCUAAUACCGGAUAGGACCACAUUUUGGAUGGUGUGGUGGAAAGUUUUUCGGUGUGGGAUGAGCUCGCGGCCUAUCAGCUUGUUGGUGGGGUAAUGGCCUACCAAGGCGUCGACGGGUAGCCGGCCUGAGAGGGUGUACGGCGACAUUGGGACUGAGGUACGGCCCAGACUCCUACGGGAGGCAGCAGUGGGGAAUAUUGCACAAUGGGCGCAAGCCUGAUGCAGCGACGCCGCGUGGGGGAUGACGGCCUUCGGGUUGUAAACUCCUUUCGCUAGGGACGAAGCGCAAGUGACGGUACCUGGAGAAGAAGCACCGGCUAACUACGUG